ACAAGAACUUCCCACGCUGGAGGAAUGGCAGAUGAAACUUAUGGACUAUAUGGAAUUGGCGGAAAUGACUGGCAGAAUCCGUGACCAGGGAGAAGAGUCGAUGGAGGAAGACUGGAAGAAAUUCAAAGACUAUCUUCAGAAACACUGCAAAAUUAAGGAAUGUUAGAGUGAUGUUGGAUUGAAAAUAAGUGGUUUCCAGCUGUACAGGUUAAAGUUAAGGAUAGAUUAAGAUUAAAGAUCAAGAUUAAAGAUGUUUAAAGAAAUGGAAAUUUGAUAAUAAAAGGGAAAAAUUUAAAGGUAUAUGACAUUAAGAACAAGGAUUAUGUUUAAAAAAGUUGAAGUUAUAUAUUUUAAUAUUUUAUUAAAUUAAAGAUUGGGUUUAAAAAAGUGGAAAAGAAACUGCUGGACAAAUAAUGCAGAUUGGAAUACAAAAGAGGGAGGUAUGAGGAAGUCCAGAAAAUAAGUAAUUUAAAAUUGGGAAUGGAAAAGAGAGUUUGUUUUUAAUUGUUAUGUUUUGUGUUUUUAUUGUUAAAUUUUGUAUUGUUUUUUUCUGUGUGUGUUGUUUUUCUUUUUUCUUUGUUUAAAACCUU
Molecule: long non-coding RNA, 590 nt
Filed under: Podarcis lilfordi (Lilford's wall lizard)
Lineage: Eukaryota; Metazoa; Chordata; Lepidosauria; Squamata; Lacertidae
Source: RNAcentral